Molecule: small RNA, 1693 nt
Filed under: Pongo abelii (Sumatran orangutan)
Lineage: Eukaryota; Metazoa; Chordata; Mammalia; Primates; Hominidae
Description: retained intron
Source: RNAcentral
GGCCCCCAGAACGGAGAAGCGCGCAAGGCAGCGGUGACAGCGGCGACGGCAACGGCGACAGCAACCCCUGCUGUGCCGAAACUGGGCAGAGCGGAGCAGACGUCUGAAGCAGCGCGAGUGAGGCGCGAGGGUAGCGCCCGCGCCCGGGAAGACCCCUCGGCGCGAACCGGCAGCCCAGCCCCGGGUCCCGGUUCCCGAGGCCCCGCCUCUAGGGCCUGGGGACUAAUCGGAUUGAGAGCGCGCCGGCCCGGGCCGCGAACUCGCCAAUUGCGGAGGGCGGUGGCCACCGCCCAAUCCGGAGCAGACAGGUGCGAGGUCCGGAAGGCGGAGGCCAAUCGGCGGCGGUUGCGACCUGCUGGGGCAGGUCUCGGCCAAUAAGGAGGCUCGAGUGACAUCUUCGCGCACCAAUCGGGAGUGAGGGAGCAUUCGUGCCCGCUCGCCCUUCCGGCCAGACCUCUAUUUACCAGGGGCGUGCAGCCCGCUUGCCAAUCAGAGCGCGGCUGAGCGGCCCGGCAGCCAACCCCCGAGGAGCGGCCGGCUGGCGUCCGCCGCGCCCAGGAGUUGGGGAUGUCCUACAAACCCAUCGCCCCUGCUCCCAGCAGCACCCCUGGCUCCAGCACCCCUGGGCCGGGCACCCCGGUCCCUACAGGUGAGGAUCCAGCUCCACCCCUGCUCGCCUGCCGGGCGGUCGAGGUCUCGAAGAGAAGACGGCCUGAGUUCUGCAAUACUGGGCCUGCCGCCUACCCUCGCUAAGCCUCAGUUUGCUGGCCUGUGAAGUGGGCGUGGUCACGUAAGGGCUUGUAGGUGGAGCGCAGUGGGAGGGAUUUGUCCCUGAAGUUGAUCAGCAUGGAAUGAAGCAUCCUUUGGAGGGAAUCGGGCGAACCCGGUCCUGGGCUUGGAAAAGCUGGGAGGCGGCGUCCCUGCCCCGCGCUGACCUCUUACUCGCGCCUGUUGCUGCAGGAAGCGUCCCGUCGCCGUCGGGCUCAGUGCCAGGAGCCGGCGCACCUUUUAGACCGCUGUUUAACGACUUUGGACCGCCUUCCAUGGGCUACGUGCAGGCGAUGAAGCCACCCGGCGCCCAGGGCUCCCAGAGCACCUACACGGACCUGCUGUCAGUCAUAGAGGAGAUGGGCAAAGAGAUCCGGCCCACCUAUGCUGGCAGCAAGAGCGCCAUGGAGCGCCUGAAGAGAGGUAUCAUCCAUGCCCGGGCCCUAGUCAGAGAGUGCCUGGCAGAGACAGAGCGGAACGCCCGCACGUAACAGGAAGCGCCUCGGCCUCAGCGUCUGGACCUUUCCGGCCACUGCAGAGCACCCGCUUCUCCCUGGCCUUCAUCCCGAGUUGCACUAACCAUCCUGGGCUUCCUGUCCUGUGUCCCUUGGUGGGUCCCCUCCAGGAACCAAGGAGCGGCCCUCCAGGUGGCAGCACUAAGGACACCCCCCCACAACAAGAGUUAGCAGCGAGGUCCCCAUGAGUCCCACCCAUGACCUGCCGACAGUGUUGCCCACCGGAACUUUCUGUGGCCCCUACCGCUCAGCUCUUCCCAGCACUUGUCCCACUUUGUCCCGAGCCUCCUUCUCCCCCAGCAGGGGCUCAGGCCUGGCGCCUCCCUGCCUUGCGUCCUGAGCCAUAGUGACUCUUUUAUUUGUGUGUCUUUUGCUAAAUAUGCCCUUUUUAUAUUAAUAAAAGAUGAUUU